AAGAUUUUAAGUUAUUCAAACUAGCAUCCUUCAAAGUUGCAAAUAAAAGAUUCUCUUUUAAAUCUUA
RNAcentral lists this transfer RNA (67 nucleotides) under Jaxea nocturna. RNAcentral's name for it is "tRNA-Trp". The record is from RNAcentral. Lineage: Eukaryota; Metazoa; Arthropoda; Malacostraca; Decapoda; Laomediidae.